Molecule: small nuclear RNA, 107 nt
Organism: Nomascus leucogenys (northern white-cheeked gibbon)
Lineage: Eukaryota; Metazoa; Chordata; Mammalia; Primates; Hylobatidae
Source: Ensembl
GUGCUUGCUUCGGCAGCACACAUACUAAAAUCAGAAUGAUAUGGAGAAGAUUAGCACAGCCUCUGCGCAAGGAUGACGUGCAAAUUCAUGAAGCAUUCCAUAUUUUU